This 74-nucleotide transfer RNA is filed under the name Gemmobacter megaterium. Its description in RNAcentral is "Catellibacterium sp. CF17 tRNA". It matches the Rfam family "tRNA". From Rfam's summary of the family: Transfer RNA (tRNA) molecules are approximately 80 nucleotides in length. Their secondary structure includes four short double-helical elements and three loops (D, anti-codon, and T loops). The record is from Rfam by way of RNAcentral. Lineage: Bacteria; Pseudomonadati; Pseudomonadota; Alphaproteobacteria; Rhodobacterales; Paracoccaceae. RNAcentral also lists the same sequence under 3 other names.
GGCUAGGUAGCUCAGCUGGUUAGAGCGUGCGACUCAUAAUCGCAAGGUCGAGGGUUCGAGUCCCUCCCUCGCCA